Molecule: long non-coding RNA, 354 nt
Organism: Bufo gargarizans (Asiatic toad)
Lineage: Eukaryota; Metazoa; Chordata; Amphibia; Anura; Bufonidae
Exons: 4
Source: RefSeq, a predicted model, not a curated record
AAUUUGAAGAUAUCAGCGCAAGCACCCACAGCAUCUGGGUUAACCCAUUCUUCACAUAGAAAGGAUAACUCAGAAUUGAACCAAGAAAAUUUUGGGAUGAUGUCAGAAAAUACGAGUACAACACCAUCAAAUAACGCAUUUUCAACUAGAAUGCAACCUGGACCCACAAAUUCAGGUUCUCAAACUGGCAGUUAAAGUGAUCUCCAAUCAAAUUUGAAGAUAUCAGCGCAAGCACCCACAGCAUCUGGGUUAACCCAUUCUUCACAUAGGUAAGUAAAUAAUAUAAUCAACAUAUUAACUGUAAUGUUAGGUGCCAUGUCAUCAUGGCUCACCACACUGAAUUUAUCAGUAUGG